AUGAACUUUGGAGUUAGUAUCCUCAAGUUACUUUUUAACUGCAUUACUAGACAGCGGUUGGCUUUCAGUUACCAGAAAGGUGAUGUUUCAUUAUGCUUGGUACAACCAACUGGCAGCUAUGGUGCCUUCCUAAUCCAAGCAUAUGUUAUUUUUCAGGCUUUUCAGGUUUUGCUGCUGUUAAUUGUAUUUGGCUUGUUUGUUUCAUUGGUGGCUUGCUGCUCGGGUAUGCGAUCACAUCAGUUGGUUAUUUGCACUCGGAGUUCUUUGUUGAUUUUGUUGGAUGUGUGUGUUGUUUACCAACAAGGAGCUUCAUAA
This 315-nucleotide ribosomal RNA is filed under the name Triticum aestivum (bread wheat). RNAcentral describes it as "partial small subunit ribosomal RNA". The record is from RNAcentral. Lineage: Eukaryota; Viridiplantae; Streptophyta; Magnoliopsida; Poales; Poaceae.